Neofelis nebulosa (Clouded leopard) is the source of this 1128-nucleotide long non-coding RNA. RefSeq lists it as uncharacterized. Lineage: Eukaryota; Metazoa; Chordata; Mammalia; Carnivora; Felidae. The transcript has 3 exons. The record is from RefSeq and is a predicted model, not a curated record.
GCUGGCGAGGGGGAGCGCGCGGAGCCCGGGAAGGAAGCGCGGCCGGCGCUGGGGGCAGGCUCUGCCCUCUUUGGCAGCACUGACCUCACUGGGGCUGGGUCCACUCCAGGACGGCUCAUCUUGGCCACAGCACACAUGGUGGAUCCUCUGUCCCUGCCUCUUGGGCCCGGCGCCCCAUGCCGUCACCCGCUGCCCCCGGAAUUACUUAGCCAAAGCCCAGGACUUCCGUUUGCCCUGCUGCUCUGGUUCUGCCACUUCCUCCAGCUGCAGACUGGACUGCCACCUGCCUACAGCUGACCAGCAUCUAAAAGUCACGCCCAGAAAUCCCCAGAAUCUGGCCAUUCUCAAGGGCACCCUGGCCUCCCACCUCUCACUCCCAGAGCACCACCCUGGAGAAUAGGUGACUCCCUCUCCCAUUAUUCACUACAUCCUGCCCAUUCUUUCCCCACAAGGAUCUCACAUCCGCCCCUUCCUCUGCCCUGUGUCCGCUGGUCUUCAGCUGGCCACCACUCCCCUAGACACACCUCCCCCUGACUCAUCCCUGCCACCUCACAACCUGUUGUUAAACCGGCAGGGAACUCUAAGGUCAUCAAAUCCAACGUCCACUCUGCUUGAAUACUUACAGGAACGGGGUGCUCACAACCUGUACACUGGGGAGCAGCUUCAGCUGUUGGAAACUUCCCAUCCUGCCUGGGCCCUUGGAGCCAAGCAGAAAAAGUCACCUCCCUUUCCUCCUGAUAGCUCCUUAGAAAUGGGAGGCUCUGAGGACAGACAGAUCUGGUUUAAGUCCUGGCCUUGCCUUGGAUGUCCGCUCCAGGAGGUCCUGGGCCUAGAAGUGGGCCCUGCACAGCAGACGCUACAAGCUCAUUUGGUGAACGAAUGAAUGACAUCAUCUCCUUUAAAAAGCUAGUCCUGGGACACCUGGGUGGCUCAGUUGGUUGGGCGUCCGACAUCAGCUCAGGUCAUGAUCUCACAGCUCGUGAGUUCGAGCCCCACGUCGGGCUCUGUGCCAACAACUCAGAGCCUGGAGCCUGCUUCGGAUUCUGUGUCUCCCUCUCUCUCUGCCCCUCCCCUGCUCAUGCUCUGUCUCUCUCUGUCUCAGAAAUAAAUAAAAACAUCAAAAAAAUU